Molecule: non-coding RNA, 1299 nt
Organism: Corylus avellana
Lineage: Eukaryota; Viridiplantae; Streptophyta; Magnoliopsida; Fagales; Betulaceae
Source: RefSeq, a predicted model, not a curated record
GUCAAGGUCUCCCCCAACUACACAAAACAAAAACCCCUCUCUCUCUCUCUCUCUCGCUCUCCGAGACCCCAAAAACCAAAAAUGGCUCUCCGUCUCUUCCUCCUCAUCGCCGUGUUUUCCCUCACCCUCUUCUCCGUCUCGGUCAGGUCCUCCGACUCGGACCUUGUAUCAGAACUCCUGGCCCUCCAGUCCCACUCCAAAUCGGGCGUUAUCCACCUCGACGACCGCUCCGUCUCGCGCUUCCUGACCUCGCCCAAGACCCCCAGGCCCUACUCCCUGCUCGUCUUCUUCGACGCGACCCAACUCCACGACAAGGCCGAGCUCCAGCUGAAGACCCUCCAUGCCGAGUUCUCGCUCCUCGCCAAAUCCUUCAUCACAAACAACCAAGACCCCGAUUCCUCCUCCCACGGCAAGCUCUUCUUCUGCGACCUUGAGUUCAAGGAGUCCCAGUCCAGCUUCGCGCUCUUCGGCGUCAAUUCCCUCCCUCACAUCAAGCUCAUCGGCCCGAAUCAGACCCCGAAACAGUCCGAUCAGAUGGACCAGGGAGACUUCUCCAGGCUUGCCGAGUCGAUGUCCCAUUUCGUCGAGUCCAAGACCAAUCUCGUCGUCGGCCCGAUCCACCGCCCACCGUUUCUCUCGAAGAAGCAAUUGGCGUUGGUCAUUGUGGGUAUUCUCAUUUGGAUUCCAUUUGCUGUGAAGAAGAUUGUGAUGGGUGAGACUCUGCUCCACGACCCGAAACUCUGGCUGGCGGGUUCGGUGUUCGUCUACUUCUUCAGCGUCUCGGGCGCGAUGCACAACAUCAUUCGGAAGAUGCCCAUGUUCCUGGCGGACCGGAACGACCCAAACAAGCUGGUAUUCUUCUACCAGGGCUCGGGAAUGCAGCUCGGGGCGGAGGGGUUCGCCAUCGGGUUCUUGUACACGAUUGUGGGUCUGCUGCUGGCGUUCAUGACGCGUGUUCUCGUGAAGGUGAAGAAUGUGAACGUGCAGAGGGCGGUGAUGAUUGUUUCGCUGUUCGUUUCGUUUUGGGCGGUCAAGAAGGUGGUCUAUUUGGAUAAUUGGAAGACUGGUUAUGGGAUCCACGGAUUUUGGCCUUCAAGUUGGUAAUAAGCUACAAAAAGAAUUACGUUAGGGAGCACUUGAGGUGGGAGUGGACCAAUUGGCUAAAUGCUCAGAGGCUAGAUAGGUUAGGGAAGUCUAACAGUGGUUUAUCGGGUUGGAUGGAACAAUGGCGAUAUUGCGUUUGGUAAAGUUGUUACUGUGAGAUCCCUCCACGACGUCUAAAAUGUUCCACUUGAUUCC